RNAcentral lists this ribosomal RNA (228 nucleotides) under uncultured bacterium. RNAcentral's name for it is "partial 16S ribosomal RNA". It matches the Rfam family "Bacterial small subunit ribosomal RNA", at positions 568 to 795 of the family's 1533-position model. The record is from RNAcentral.
UACGUAGGCGGAAAAUUAAGUCAGUAGUGAAAUCCUGCAGCUUAACUGUAGAACUGUUAUUGAUACUGGUUUUCUUGAAUAUAGUUGAGGUAGGCGGAAUGUGUAAUGUAGCGGUGAAAUGCUUAGAUAUUACACAGAACACCGAUUGCGAAGGCAGCUUACUAAGCUAUGAUUGACGCUGAGGUACGAAAGCGUGGGAAGCGAACAGGAUUAGAUACCCUGGUAGUC